This 420-nucleotide ribosomal RNA is filed under the name uncultured bacterium. RNAcentral's name for it is "partial 16S ribosomal RNA". It matches the Rfam family "Bacterial small subunit ribosomal RNA", at positions 355 to 767 of the family's 1533-position model. The record is from RNAcentral.
UGGGGAAUAUUGCACAAUGGGCGCAAGCCUGAUGCAGCCAUGCCGCGUGUGUGAAGAAGGCCUUCGGGUUGUAAAGCACUUUCAGCGAGGAGGAAGGGUAGUGUGUUAAUAGCACAUUGCAUUGACGUUACUCGCAGAAGAAGCACCGGCUAACUCCGUGCCAGCAGCCGCGGUAAUACGGAGGGUGCAAGCGUUAAUCGGAAUUACUGGGCGUAAAGCGCACGCAGGCGGUUUGUUAAGUCAGAUGUGAAAUCCCCGCGCUUAACGUGGGAACUGCAUUUGAAACUGGCAAGCUAGAGUCUUGUAGAGGGGGGUAGAAUUCCAGGUGUAGCGGUGAAAUGCGUAGAGAUCUGGAGGAAUACCGGUGGCGAAGGCGGCCCCCUGGACAAAGACUGACGCUCAGGUGCGAAAGCGUGGGGA